This 2888-nucleotide ribosomal RNA is filed under the name Pseudomonas aeruginosa. Its description in RNAcentral is "23S ribosomal RNA". It matches the Rfam family "Bacterial large subunit ribosomal RNA". Lineage: Bacteria; Pseudomonadati; Pseudomonadota; Gammaproteobacteria; Pseudomonadales; Pseudomonadaceae. The record is from RNAcentral.
UCAAGUGAAGAAGCGCAUACGGUGGAUGCCUUGGCAGUCAGAGGCGAUGAAAGACGUGGUAGCCUGCGAAAAGCUUCGGGGAGUCGGCAAACAGACUUUGAUCCGGAGAUCUCUGAAUGGGGGAACCCACCUAGGAUAACCUAGGUAUCUUGUACUGAAUCCAUAGGUGCAAGAGGCGAACCAGGGGAACUGAAACAUCUAAGUACCCUGAGGAAAAGAAAUCAACCGAGAUUCCCUUAGUAGUGGCGAGCGAACGGGGAUUAGCCCUUAAACUUCAUUGAUUUUAGCGGAACGCUCUGGAAAGUGCGGCCAUAGUGGGUGAUAGCCCCGUACGCGAAAGGAUCUUUGAAGUGAAAUCGAGUAGGACGGAGCACGAGAAACUUUGUCUGAACAUGGGGGGACCAUCCUCCAAGGCUAAAUACUACUGACUGACCGAUAGUGAACCAGUACCGUGAGGGAAAGGCGAAAAGAACCCCGGAGAGGGGAGUGAAAUAGAACCUGAAACCGUAUGCGUACAAGCAGUGGGAGCCUACUUGUUAGGUGACUGCGUACCUUUUGUAUAAUGGGUCAGCGACUUAUAUUCAGUGGCAAGCUUAACCGUAUAGGGUAGGCGUAGCGAAAGCGAGUCUUAAUAGGGCGUUUAGUCGCUGGGUAUAGACCCGAAACCGGGCGAUCUAUCCAUGAGCAGGUUGAAGGUUAGGUAACACUGACUGGAGGACCGAACCCACUCCCGUUGAAAAGGUAGGGGAUGACUUGUGGAUCGGAGUGAAAGGCUAAUCAAGCUCGGAGAUAGCUGGUUCUCCUCGAAAGCUAUUUAGGUAGCGCCUCAUGUAUCACUCUGGGGGGUAGAGCACUGUUUCGGCUAGGGGGUCAUCCCGACUUACCAAACCGAUGCAAACUCCGAAUACCCAGAAGUGCCGAGCAUGGGAGACACACGGCGGGUGCUAACGUCCGUCGUGAAAAGGGAAACAACCCAGACCGCCAGCUAAGGUCCCAAAGUUGUGGUUAAGUGGUAAACGAUGUGGGAAGGCUUAGACAGCUAGGAGGUUGGCUUAGAAGCAGCCACCCUUUAAAGAAAGCGUAAUAGCUCACUAGUCGAGUCGGCCUGCGCGGAAGAUGUAACGGGGCUCAAACCACACACCGAAGCUGCGGGUGUCACGUAAGUGACGCGGUAGAGGAGCGUUCUGUAAGCCUGUGAAGGUGAGUUGAGAAGCUUGCUGGAGGUAUCAGAAGUGCGAAUGCUGACAUGAGUAACGACAAUGGGUGUGAAAAACACCCACGCCGAAAGACCAAGGGUUCCUGCGCAACGUUAAUCGACGCAGGGUUAGUCGGUUCCUAAGGCGAGGCUGAAAAGCGUAGUCGAUGGGAAACAGGUUAAUAUUCCUGUACUUCUGGUUACUGCGAUGGAGGGACGGAGAAGGCUAGGCCAGCUUGGCGUUGGUUGUCCAAGUUUAAGGUGGUAGGCUGAAAUCUUAGGUAAAUCCGGGGUUUCAAGGCCGAGAGCUGAUGACGAGUCGUCUUUUAGAUGACGAAGUGGUUGAUGCCAUGCUUCCAAGAAAAGCUUCUAAGCUUCAGGUAACCAGGAACCGUACCCCAAACCGACACAGGUGGUCGGGUAGAGAAUACCAAGGCGCUUGAGAGAACUCGGGUGAAGGAACUAGGCAAAAUGGCACCGUAACUUCGGGAGAAGGUGCGCCGGCUAGGGUGAAGGAUUUACUCCGUAAGCUCUGGCUGGUCGAAGAUACCAGGCCGCUGCGACUGUUUAUUAAAAACACAGCACUCUGCAAACACGAAAGUGGACGUAUAGGGUGUGACGCCUGCCCGGUGCCGGAAGGUUAAUUGAUGGGGUUAGCGCAAGCGAAGCUCUUGAUCGAAGCCCGGUAAACGGCGGCCGUAACUAUAACGGUCCUAAGGUAGCGAAAUUCCUUGUCGGGUAAGUUCCGACCUGCACGAAUGGCGUAACGAUGGCGGCGCUGUCUCCACCCGAGACUCAGUGAAAUUGAAAUCGCUGUGAAGAUGCAGUGUAUCCGCGGCUAGACGGAAAGACCCCGUGAACCUUUACUGUAGCUUUGCACUGGACUUUGAGCCUGCUUGUGUAGGAUAGGUGGGAGGCUUUGAAGCGUGGACGCCAGUUCGCGUGGAGCCAUCCUUGAAAUACCACCCUGGCAUGCUUGAGGUUCUAACUCUGGUCCGUGAUCCGGAUCGAGGACAGUGUAUGGUGGGCAGUUUGACUGGGGCGGUCUCCUCCUAAAGAGUAACGGAGGAGUACGAAGGUGCGCUCAGACCGGUCGGAAAUCGGUCGCAGAGUAUAAAGGCAAAAGCGCGCUUGACUGCGAGACAGACACGUCGAGCAGGUACGAAAGUAGGUCUUAGUGAUCCGGUGGUUCUGUAUGGAAGGGCCAUCGCUCAACGGAUAAAAGGUACUCCGGGGAUAACAGGCUGAUACCGCCCAAGAGUUCAUAUCGACGGCGGUGUUUGGCACCUCGAUGUCGGCUCAUCACAUCCUGGGGCUGAAGCCGGUCCCAAGGGUAUGGCUGUUCGCCAUUUAAAGUGGUACGCGAGCUGGGUUUAGAACGUCGUGAGACAGUUCGGUCCCUAUCUGCCGUGGACGUUUGAGAUUUGAGAGGGGCUGCUCCUAGUACGAGAGGACCGGAGUGGACGAACCUCUGGUGUUCCGGUUGUCACGCCAGUGGCAUUGCCGGGUAGCUAUGUUCGGAAAAGAUAACCGCUGAAAGCAUCUAAGCGGGAAACUUGCCUCAAGAUGAGAUCUCACUGGGAACUUGAUUCCCCUGAAGGGCCGUCGAAGACUACGACGUUGAUAGGCUGGGUGUGUAAGCGUUGUGAGGCGUUGAGCUAACCAGUACUAAUUGCCCGUGAGGCUUGACCAU